RNAcentral lists this long non-coding RNA (2403 nucleotides) under Homo sapiens (human). RNAcentral describes it as "HSALNT0261375". Lineage: Eukaryota; Metazoa; Chordata; Mammalia; Primates; Hominidae. The record is from RNAcentral.
CUUCUGCCUCUUGCCGCCUUCUCUCCAGAUUCUCGCUCAGCACAGAACACUCGCUCUGGAGCAUGGAAGGAGGAGAGGUUAGCCAAGGACACGAGGGGACAGCCUGUGGAAAAGAAGAUCUGGGCCUGGGAAGGUUCCUUUUCUUUCUGAGCCUCAAGCUCCCCAACUGAGCUAUGGGUGCAUUCUGCUGGAGGCAGGCUCCAAGAAGGGAACUUGGCCCUGGAGGAAGGGCAGGUGUUGGAUAUAGGGGGUCCUCACACCUGCAGAGACUGCACGUGCUGGUUAACCCGGUUGGUCUUUUCCUUCAAGCUGGUGAUGGAGUCUUUGGCGCGGACCAAUCCACUGUUGACCCCACUCUGGGGAAGAAUGGGAGACAGCCUACAUCAUUACUUAGACUGUGCAGAAUUAUAGUCAAUUUCUGAGUCAUCCCUUAUAGGAAAAGAGUGAGAACUUUCCCUUUUUCUCUCAUUUCACUGGAAUGCACAAUUGAGGGCUGUCUUGGACCAGCAGAUAGAGGACACAAUGAAACAGAAGAAGCCUGAAUCCUUGACAUGGAGCCACCAUACUCCAUUCCAACCACCUGUGAAGACUUUCAGGGGAACGAUAGCCUCAAUGUCAUAAGCAGCCACCUAUGAAGAGGCCCAUGUAGCAAGGAAUUGAGGCCUCCAGCCAAGGGCAGGUGAGUGCCCCAUUUUGGUAGCACAACCUCUGGCCCCAGUCCAACCUUCAGGUGACUGCAGCCCCAGCCAAAAUCUUGUUUGCAACCUCGUGAGACGCCCUGAGCCAGGCCCACCCAGCUGAGCCCCUCCAAGUUUGUUGUUUGAAGUUUUGGUGUAAUUGGUUUCACAGCAAUAGAAAGCAUUACACAAAGUGUCUUUCUAACCUGAAGACUCAGAAGGUCUUGGGUUUCCUGUGGGUAAUUGUUCUGGAAACCAAGGCAACAGGACCUAGGGCCAACUAAUUUCUCCCAGUUACUAGCCGUAUGACCUCAUGGAGAGGACUUCACCUCUCUGUGCCUCUGCUUCCCUACCUGUGAAAUGGAGAUAUAACUAACAACUACCUUCACAGGGUUCCCAUUGUCCUUCCUCCUACCUGGAAACUGACACUCUCUCAACCAGGGUCUCCAUCACCGCCUGGUUCUCUGUCCCCCUCUUUCCAGUUCUCUGUCCCCACCCAGCCCCUGUGUCUGUUCCUUCUCUCUCUGGGUCUCUAUCCCCCUCCUCUAUUUCUGGUCUUCUGUCUCACCCUGAUUCAGCUCUGUCCCCCAAAUCUCAGAGUCUCUGACUUAUUUUUCCUGAGUCUCUGCCUUUCUACUCUUUAGGUCUCUGUCUUCUUUUUUUUUUUUUUUUUUUGAGAUAGAGUCUCACUCUGUCACCAGGCUGGAGUGCAGUGGCACGAUCUCGGCUCUCUGCAACCUCCACCUCCCGAGUUCAAGCGAUUCUCCUGCCUCAGCCUCCCGAGUAGCUGGGAUUACAGGCAUGUGCCCCCCUCUGUCUCUGGGUCUCUGUCCUCCUCUCUCUCUGGGUCUCUGUCCUCCUCUCUCUUGGUCUCUGUCCCCCACUCUCUGGGUCUCUGUCCCCCUCUCCCUGGUCUCCCUUCCCCUCUCUCUGGGUCUCUGUUCCCCUCUCUCUCUCUGGGUCUCUGUCUCCCUCUCUCUCUGGGUCUCUGUGUCCUUCUCUCUGCCUGUCCCCGCCUUCUCUCUGGAUGCAGCUCAGGUGCUGGGUGCUGGUUCCAGCUCCUGCUGCCCCCCUCACCUCUCCAGCAGGCACCCCAAGGUCAUUACUUUUUCCAUUUCACAGAGAAGGAACUUGAAGCCCGUUAGAGGCCGACACUCCCCUGCAGCCCCACAGCGAGCUGGCAGCUGUGUCAGACCUUGAUCCUGGCUGCCUGGGGUACUUUCUCAGGCUUCACGAUCCAGUGGGGGAUGUGACUCAGAAAUAGCUCUGGUGGGAGGCAAACGGCUGCAAGUGCUGCCUGAGGGACACUCCCCAAGACAGGGCGGAGAGCUCUUCUGUCUGAGGGAGGAGAUGUCUCCCAGACAUCCUUCCCAGCCCAGACUCUUUGCCCUGUUCUCUGCAGCUCCUCCUCCUUCCCUGGACCCUCGCCCAGGCUCCCCUCUGGCCUCCCUGCCUCAGUCUCUCCCCUCCAAACAUCCCCCACUCAGCCCAAGGGAGUCUUGGGGAGAGAAAGCCCUUUUGCAUUAGUGACAAAAGCAGCAGCCUUCUUGUCUUGGUCCUGCUUCUUACAACCCCUCCAACCUUGACCUUGUGGAGGUUACUACACCACUGUCUACCUUAGUUGUUUCUUUUUUUUUUUUGAGACGGAGUUUUGCUCUUGUUGCCCAGGCUGGAGUGCAAUGGCACGAUUUCGGUUCACUGCAACCUCUGCCUCCCAGGUUCAAGC